Molecule: long non-coding RNA, 6523 nt
Organism: Homo sapiens (human)
Lineage: Eukaryota; Metazoa; Chordata; Mammalia; Primates; Hominidae
Exons: 4
Source: RefSeq, a predicted model, not a curated record
GAGUGCAGUGGCUAGAUCAGGGCUCACUGUAGCCUCGACCUCCCAGGAUCAAGCGAUCCUCCCACCCCAGCCUCCCUAGUAACUGGGAUUACAAGUGUGCACCACCAUGCCCAGCUAAUUUGGGUUUCGCCAUGUUACCCAGGCUGGUCUCAAACUCCUGGGCUCAAACAACUCACCCACCUCUGCCUCCCAAAGUGCUGGGAUUACAGGCAUGAGUCACUGUGCCUGGUGCCCCCUUCCCCAACUCUUAAUCCCCCAACUCCCCAGCUCCAAGAUUGGCAAGUGACCCAGACCCAGCCAAUCAAACAUACUCUGUGAUGGCAUCAGGAGGUGGGUUCGUGAGCCCAGCUUGUCUGAUCUGAGUCAGUCCCUGGACCUCUGCUGGGGAAUUGGGGAAGAGGCUUCUCUUUUCUACUGACCUUGCUGGGCUGAUGGGAGGAUCAGGAUCUGCUGGGGCAUCUUUGCCACCUCAUGAGAACUGUGUGACCCAGAAGGGAGCCCACCCAGGAGGACGCCAGCCUGAGAAAUGGAAGAGAACCCUUCCUGAUGAUGUCAUUUUGCACCAAGAUCCAGCUGUGCCUGUAGUCAAAUACUGCCGGGACAUUAAGUUUCUGGAGUGAAGAUAUUCAUGUUUUCACUCAUUUAAGUUUGAGUGGGUAUUCUGUCCUUUGUGAUCAAGAGUGCUGCCUGAUAGAGGUUGCAGUGAGCCGAGAUCGUGCCACUGCACUCCACUCCAGCCUGGCGACAGAGAGAGUCUCUGUCUCAAAAAAAAAAAAAAAGUGCUGCCCGAUAGAUGACAGUUCCCCCUUUUUGUCUCAGUGACUUUUAGAGCUUUUGGAGGUCUCCUGUUGGGGGCCCUAGGCUGUAGGGAGGAGAUUCAUAUUUGUCCUGUAUUCUUGGGAAACCUUUGAGCUAAGAUUGGACUGAAAUGGCCUCAGGUGCUCUAAUCAAAUUGAGACCUGGUCCAAUCCCUGUGGGCCCCUAAACCAAAGGUGAAUAAGGUGCCUGCCUAGCAGGAGGUUGUGACCUCCAGGCUGAUGGUGGGGUGAGAGCUGGGAGUCUGGAUGGAGCAGAUGUAGGCAGACAACAGGAUGAGAUUUGAAGGCCACAGCUAAGAAUGACAUUGAAGAUCAAGACCUGUGCUGUCCUCCAUGGCAGUCACUGGGCACCUGGGGUUAUUUCAGUUUAUAUCAAUGAAAACUAAAUAGCUUUAAAAAUUCAGUUCCUCAGUCACGCUAGCCACAUUUUGAGUGCUCCAUAGUCACAUGUGGCUAGCGGCUGCUAUAUUGGACAGUGCAGACACAGAAUAUUUUCACCAUGUGCAGAAAGUUGUACUCAACAACACGAGACAGACAUAUAAGGUUUUGAGUCCAGAAAACAUCAAGUUGGAGAGAGGCAGUAGCAAGAAAAAAAGAGCAACAAUAAGGGGGACUGUGACCAAGAGGUCCCCACUCAUUCAUUCCAUCCUUCCUUCAUUCAUCUCUUCACCUCACAUUGAUUGAGCUCCUAUCAGGCACCCUCUAUGACUGCAGGCUCCAGGGAAACACAAGAGAAUUACACAGAUGUAGCCUCAGACCACACAGAGCUCACAUUUAGUCUGAGGAGUCAGACCCUAAGGGAGGUAAAUAAGUCACUAAACAAGACAAUUCCAGAAAAUAAUAAAUGCCAACAUGAAAAGAGAGCAGGUAAUAGGACACAGCGUCUUUGGUGGGAGGAUCAGGCCUCAAGUUUGGGGAGACGUGUCAUCUUUGGGCAGCUAAAAACUACAGGGCUCAGAAAACCUCAGACAUACAGAAAGGAGAGGAAUGCACUGCUCUAUAGCCCACUCCCUGGAAGGCUGGGAAGCCCUGGUCCAGGGAAAGCACAGGGUUCUAGGAAUUGGGAACGGGACCCAACCACAAGGACAGGAAGUGGACAGGGGCCUCCAGGAAGCAGAGAAGAAACGAAGCACAGAAGUGGCCAUGGGGCCAUCAUGGAGUCUGUUUCACGGACAGAAACACAAAGGGGCUGUUAGGAACAGCCACCUCUGGCCAGCCCCGCCUGUGAUUGUGACCUGACAACUCGUGGUUUGUGAAGGUUGUUUGUUUCAGAGGCAUUUCGCCUCUCUGCUUUUGGAACCUCCACGAGUGGACUUUUGUCUUGGGGCUCACAGUAUUUUACCCCCUUCAGGGAGGUGGCUGGUUGUAGUUUAGCAAAACAGCCACUGACAUCGCUGCUCCUUCAGCCUCUGCAGACAGAGCUGCAAGAUCCUCGAGGCCUUUUUAAUCCCCAGAAACAAGGUGUUAAAACAGACCAAAAUGUGUUCUCCCGCCCAGAAGCAAGCAAAGCCAACCCCAGCUGCAGUUCCCUGACAGUCCAGUGAAUUCAGCCAAAGGAAAUGGCCCCACAUGGAGGGCAAGUGACAGAAGACCUGAUGACUCCGGUGGCUCAGCGGAGAGUGCAUUAAUAGGCUUGACCACUUCUGCUCGAUCUUCAGGCAAGCUGGGUCUGACCCCUGGACACUGUCCCCUGGAGCCCCUGGCCUCCACGUGUCCACCCACUGCCAUGGUCAUGGCUCCUCAGCAGGAGGAGGCCCAGCAGCCUCCAGGUGCCCCUGCCUGGUGCUAGCUGCCCACCGAAGCUCUAGCCUCACACUCUCAGGUUCAAAUCCAGCGACAAGAGCGGAUCCCACAAAGGCCACGAGAGUCACCCUAAACGGUCAGCUUAGGUCCUUCGUUCACUGAGCCCAUCGCUGUCCAGGGCAAGUGGUGCUGGCUGGGCUAGGUCCAGCUCCCGUGUCCACCCUGGGACCUGAGGUUCAGGGUCAGCUCACCCUAGACACAUGGAUCGAGUGGGGAGGGUGAAUCCUCAAAUGCUAAUCAGGUUCUGUUGUACAGAAGGGGAAGCGGAGGCAGGAGGAUGCAGCAAGACCUGUUCCCUCCUCUAACGGCACUCAUAGGACAGCCCAGCCACACAUUCAAAGAAUCUUGAAGGAAUAGGAUGGUUGGUAUGGUUGGUGUGGAAGAAGGUUCAUAAAUUCUGGAUUUAGCUUUGUGGGAUUCAGCUGACCUGAAAUUUAUACCUGUGCAGGUAGGUGGUUGCUGGGUAGGGUGACCACUACUGUCUCUCUCCAUCACCCAGGGCUGUUUUCAGCUCAAAGCCACAGAAGCCCAGGCAUGGUGGCAUCUCCGGGGGAAGUUGCCUUAUUCCAGAUUCACAGGUCCGGGGCGAAGGGGCCAGGCAGGGCAGGUGUGGGGCGGCAGGAUAUCGCCCUGGGCCUGGCUCCUUCUGCCUUUCUGCCACCAUCUUCAGCGGUGCCAUUACCUCGAGGCCUUCUGUGGUUGCUGGAGCUGCCACGCUCGGCCUCCUGUCUGCCUCCAGAUGGGAGAGGAGGAAGGAGGAGGUGAGAGCAGGAAAGAGCUUACAUAAAAGACCACAUUUUCCCAGAAUCCCCAGCAGCUGCCUGUUCUCCCCCUCCACUGGGCUAGAGCUGUGUCACACAGGCUGAGCGGCCAGGAAGCUGGGCACCAUCCAGGGAGUGUGUGAUCGUCGGGGUCCUGUUGAUUCCUGCUUUUGAGUAAUGAAGGUGACCAAACCACAUGACCCUGUCUGCAAAGAUUCCACCUGGACUCCCAGUUCCUCCAAGGAACCGUCAUGUGGUUCAAAUCCAAUGAAAUUCUCUAAAUCUCCACCCUCCUCAGGGUGCAGAGUUGGCUGCUUCUCUGUGCCCCCUGCUGAUCACGGCAACCCCUGGGUGCCUCGGCCUGCGAAGCCCCAGCUGUCCUCCGUCUGCAGACAAGCCGAGGUAUGAAAGCCUCCUCGCUGGCCCAGGAGCCUGUCAUUGUCCUCCAGCAGCUCUAGCCUGGAUGCGGUCCCAGAGAUAAAUCAUAUCUCUUUAAAAAGCCACAGUGGCCCAUUAUUUCUGCUUGAAAAUACCCCUGGCUCUCUGCUGGUGAGCUGGUUGACAGGCCCCGGCUGUUGUGCUCAGUGCUGCAAAGAGUCACGUCAGUCUGUCGACUUGUGUAGUGAGCAAGCUGGUAGCUUCAGAUGGUAUGCACAUGAAAUCCCGUCCUGGCAUCCAGGACUUGGCUGGGGGUUGCAGAGAGAACCACAUCUGCAAAAGAGUUGGUAUUUUACAGUCCCAGCCUCACGUCCUUGUGAAAUGCCCUGUUCAUACUGGGCUACAGGGGCGGGAGCAAAAAUGAUACAAUGACAAUUCCUGGGCUGUGUUCUGCAAUAUUCUACAACACUUCCACAAGAAAACUCCAAUCUUUAAAAAUAGACUGAGCACAAUUAAACAAUCACUAUAGAUAUUUCUUUUCUUUUUUUUUUUUUUGAGAUGGAGUCUCACUCUGUCGCCCAGGCUGGAGUGCAGUGGCGCGAUCUCUGCUCACUGCAAGCUCCGCCUCCCGGGUUCACGCCAUUCUCCUGCCUCAGCCACCCGAGUAGCUGGGACUACAGGCGCCCACCACCACGCCCGGCUAAUUUUUUUGUAUUUUUAGUAGAGACGGGGUUUCACUGUGUUAGCCAGGAUGGUCUCGAUCUCCUGACCUCAUGAUCCACCCGCCUCGGCCUCCCAAAGUGCUGGGAUUACAGGCGUGAGCCGCCGCGCCCGGCCCACUAUAGAUAUUUCAACCAGAGGAAUAUAGUGAAUCAUGAUCUACCCAUCACCCAGGUUCAACAGCUCUCAGGGUUUGCCCCCUUCCUUCCAGCUCUUUCCCCUCUUUCUGCCAAAUUAUUUUAAAGCAAAUCCCAGACCUCAAGUGGACAUUUUCUAACAAAGUUGCAAUAUCCUAAACAUCUCCGAUGUUCAAAUUCCCCCAGGUGUUGCUCAGAUAUUUUUUUCUGGUUGCUUUUCCAGAAAUUCAACAAGGACCACACGGCAUUUGGUUGUUAAGUUUCUAACUUCUCUUUGGUUGACAGUGAUCCCCUCUCCUUCAUUUUACUUUUAAUGCCACUGCUUGUUGAAUUCCUGGGAGCAGUUGCUCUGUGGGAUGCCCCACAUCCAGGAUUUGUCAGUCUGCUGCCUCAUGGUGUCAUUUCAAUUCCUUCUGCAGAUGGAUGCCGCUGGACAUCCUUGCCAAGGUGUGUCAGUUUCAAUUAAACCCAGAAUGGGGUGUUGGAGCUCAAAGGAGCCAUUGUCAAGCCAUUGCCUGAGCAAAGGAAGGUGUUUUUUUUUUUUUUUCUUCCUGUCGCCCAGGCUGGAGUGCAGUGGUAUGAUCUCGGCUCACUGCAACCUCUGCCUCCUGGGUUCAAGCAAUUCUCCUGCCUCAGCCUUUUGAGUAGCUGGGAUUACAGGCAUGUGCCACCAUGCUCAGCUAAUUUUUGUAUUUUUUUAGUAGAGAUGGGGUUUCACCAUGUUGGUCAGGCUGGUCUCAAACUCCUGACCUCGUGAUUUGCCUGCCGUGGCCUCCCAAAGUGCUGGGAUUGCAGGUGUGAGCCACCGUGCCUGGCCUGUGUUUUAAGAUGAUUUCCUGGAUUCUUGUUGAACUACCAAGGCAGGUGUUUGCUCCCAGGCUUCACCAUCAAAUUCCCUAACGGCUGUGUUCUGGGUUGAGUCACUUUAAUGAGCUGCCCUGCCGUUCCCAGGUGAGAUGUCAAUUAGAAUUUGCAAUCCCAAUACCAGGGCCACGUUCUCACCACCUGAAGAAACCCUAACAGUCGAGACAGAAUGAAUGAAGGACAGAUCAAUGGGCUGGGUCUGUACAAGCACACCCAUAGGGCAACCCAAGGGCACGUUAUUUUGGUCUGAGUUAUCUCCUGAGUCAUGGACAUGAGUCUGGGAAGGUCAAGGUUCGCCUGUUAUCGUUAUGGAAAGACACUGACCUUAUGUGCUGGGCUGUGCCGUGGGCGCCUUCUUAUUACAUCCUCAGAACAGCCUCAGGAUGGCUCAUGAUUCCCUCAAUCACAGAUGAGGACCUGAGGCUCAGGAAAGAUACAUUUGCAUCUUGUAGGUCUGGGUUCAGCCUGGACCCACGGUUUCCAUGCUUGCCCUGACCCUUCAUUCCCUCCAUUCCCUCCCAGCAGCCAGUCAGUGGCUGUCCAGACAUGUGCACCAGCUGUGCUGCACCUCCACCAUAAAAACUCCUCCAAUCACUUCCCACUGCUCCCCAUGUGAACCCCAAGGGGGCUCACCCUGUCCCAGGAGGUUCUGCCUGAUCCACACCCCCCACCCCUUCCUGCAUCCCUGCAACCUGCUCUCCCUACGUCCUCAGUCCUGGCGUCCUCUCUGUUCCCUGGACUUGUCCAGCCCAGUCCUACCUCCAGGCCUUGGCACCUGCUGUGCCCUUGACCUGGCGUGAUCUCCUGAUGGCCGUUACUGGGCUGGAAACUUCUCAGUGCUCAGCUUGAGCUCAAAGCCCACCUCUUCAGAGAGGCUGUCCCCAUCCACUGUGGCCUUUCUUCCCUUUGCUCUUUCAAUUCCCAGUUUAUUUCCUGUAGAGCAGUUUCACCCUCUUCACCAAUCUUGUUUAUUUCCUUGUUUAUUGUGCCUCCUUUACCAGAACGUUCACCCUCUGAGGGCCUGGGCCAGGUCUGUCUGUUC